Non-coding RNA from Aedes albopictus (Asian tiger mosquito), 119 nucleotides. The record is from Rfam. NCBI's taxonomy places the organism in Eukaryota, Metazoa, Arthropoda, Insecta, Diptera, Culicidae.
UGAUGACUAAACUCCUAUCCCUACCUCCACGCGGUACCGGCCGGAAACUAUGAGCAACCUUAGGGAAGAUCGGGUAACCAACCCCGGUGGGAACUUUGGUCGUAGGCUGACAGGGAAGG